This 488-nucleotide long non-coding RNA is filed under the name Chinchilla lanigera (long-tailed chinchilla). RNAcentral describes it as "lncRNA (ENSCLAG00000028974.1)". Lineage: Eukaryota; Metazoa; Chordata; Mammalia; Rodentia; Chinchillidae. The record is from RNAcentral.
AGGUCACUCUGUGUCCUGUCCCAGCUCGGGUCUGAGCCCAGGACAUGGCGGAGGUGGAGGGGAGGUGCACAGGGGAGCGUCCCCCAUGAGGAGGCCGAGGCAGACGGAGCUCCCUGCCCGGGGCUCCCACCCAGACAUCUCCCACGGAGCUAAGAGGAGAGGGGCACGGGAGACACAGGAGAAGCAGAGACAAUCAACACAUCACAGAAUAAUUCAGAGCCCAACACAGCCUCACAGCCUCAGGAUUACACCAUGGAGAACCUCAUCCGCAUGGGCCUGGCUGGCCUGGUCCUGGUGGCCCUGGGGAUUCUGCUCUUCAAGGAUCAGUGCAGUCAGAGAAGGACCCAAGAUGCAGCCGGGAGAUGAAGAAAUAGCAGUCAGUGCUUGCUGAAACCCCUGUGGAUGGUAUCAGUCUAUCCCACCCAGCAGUAUGGCACAUGGAUGCAAAAUAAAGACAAAAGGAGAAAGUUCUGCAGUUGAGGAGCUCC